GAGUACUUGAUAAAACCUCUUCGUUGGAAUGGUAAGUCAAAGAUUUUAGGUUUCAGUUGUAGAUUUUAAGUCAAAUAUUUUAAGCUUCAGUUGCAUAUACAUAUACCAAUCCAAGUACUUGAAAUUUCUCAAACUUUCCGCUCUUUGUCUCGCCAAUUUCAUGGAAGAUCAAAGACAAUCUCCAUCCCCUCCUUAUGACGUAGUAAUCCUGGAAGCCUCAGGCUUUACAGGCAAAUACGUUGUCAGAGAAGCCCUCAAGUUCCUCAACAUCCCUUCUUCUCCCCUCAAAUCACUUGCACUAGCCGGUCGCAACCCCACUAAAAUAACUCAUGCCCUCAAUUGGGCUUCUCACCCCCAACACUCCUCCUUCGAUCCCUAUCCUCAAAGCCGAUACUAUUGACCCUUCUUCCAUCCGUCAUCUCUGCACCCAAACCAAGCUCAUUCUCAACUGCGUUGGACCCUUUUACCUCAUGGUGAGCCCGUUGUUGCUGCUUGUGCUUAGACUGGGUGUGAUUACUUAGAUAUAUCUGGGGAGCCUGAGUUUAUGGAGAGAAUGGAGAUGAAAUUUCACGAGAAUGCUGUGGAGACUAGUUCUUUGGUGUUUUCGGCACGUGGGUUUGAUUCGAUUCCUGCUGAAUUGGGGUGGAUGUUUAAUUCCAGGCAGUGGGUGUCCCUGGCUAUACCAAACCAAAUUGAGGCCUAUUUGAGCAUGGAGUCAGAGAAAAGGAUUGUUCUGAACUUUGGGACAUAUGAAUUUGCAAUUUUGGGAGUGUCCACCAUGGAAAAGUUGCAGGAUUUGAGGCUUUCAAUACCUAAAAGGGCAAGGCCAGCUGAAGUUGAUAAUAUUGUAUACACUGGUUUUUUAUAUUAUUACUUGUCAAGUUAGGUUUAGUAUUGAGUCUCUUUUAUUUGAAUGUUAUUACUUCAAAUUACACCUCAAAUAACACUCUUUUAUUUGAAGUAAUACUCUUUUAUAUUUAUUAAAUUUAAAAUUUUAGA
Hevea brasiliensis (rubber tree) is the source of this 999-nucleotide long non-coding RNA. RefSeq lists it as uncharacterized. NCBI's taxonomy places the organism in Eukaryota, Viridiplantae, Streptophyta, Magnoliopsida, Malpighiales, Euphorbiaceae. The record is from RefSeq and is a predicted model, not a curated record. The transcript is spliced from 2 exons.